CCCUUAGAUGUUCUGGGCUGCACGCGCGCUACAAUGAUGAACUCAACGAGUUUAUAUCAUUUACUUGAUAGUUUGCUGUAUUGGAAAAUAUGGCUAAUCUUAAACGUUCAUCGUGCUUGGGAUAGAUGAUUGAAAUUAUUUAUCUUGAACCAGGAAUUCCUAGUAAUCGUAUAUCAUCAGUGUGCGAUGAUUACGUCCCUGCCCCUUGUACACACCGCCCGUCGCUGCUACCGAUUGGAUGAUCCGGUGAAAUCCUCGGAUAAUAGCAAAUACCUUACUUUUUGUAAGGUUUGCCGUUAGAAGUUGAUUAAACCUUAUCAUCUAGAGGAAGCAAAANUCGUAACA
RNAcentral lists this ribosomal RNA (345 nucleotides) under uncultured eukaryote. Its description in RNAcentral is "partial 18S ribosomal RNA". It matches the Rfam family "Eukaryotic small subunit ribosomal RNA", at positions 1470 to 1796 of the family's 1831-position model. The record is from RNAcentral.